Molecule: long non-coding RNA, 355 nt
Filed under: Theobroma cacao (cacao)
Lineage: Eukaryota; Viridiplantae; Streptophyta; Magnoliopsida; Malvales; Malvaceae
Description: long non-coding RNA (TCAC_LNC004067)
Source: RNAcentral
CCAAGUAGUCAAGUCCACCCUCGCUGAAAAUCUGGGAUCCAGCCUUGAACCACACGGCCUCACCGAACUUGACUCCAUUCCUGGCCAGAAGCUCAGGGAAAACACAUCCAAGAGCUCCCAACAUGGCCCAUCUGCAGUGGAUGACUUCGAGCUCACGGUUCCCGGCGAAGGUCUCUGGGUCAGCAGAGAGCCCAGCAGUGUCCCAACCGUAGUCACCGGGGAACUCUCCGGUCAAGUAGGAUGGAGGCUCACCAGAGAGUGGGCCCAAGUACAAAACUCUGUCUGGGCCAUACCAUGGGCUCCCAGAGGGAGGCCUGGUGCCUGUUUUCCUCAUGGAAACACGGCCAUUGCCCUG